CCAAAAUUCAAUAGCCAACCACAGACAGCAGGAGCGCAUAGCUUAAUUCCCUGCCGAGGUUAACGCAAACAGCAGCAGCGAUCGCUACUAAAGAUUAGUGGCAGCUCGUCAGCGACUGAAUGAAAACCUCGGCACUUAGUGUCGGGGUUAGUUUUAUGCCUGC
This is a regulatory RNA element of Chamaesiphon minutus PCC 6605, 163 nucleotides long. It matches the Rfam family "Ribosomal protein L10 leader". Rfam says of the family: This family is a putative r-protein leader autoregulatory structure found in B. subtilis and other low-GC Gram-positive bacteria. The record is from Rfam. Lineage: Bacteria; Bacillati; Cyanobacteriota; Cyanophyceae; Gomontiellales; Chamaesiphonaceae.